Lolium rigidum is the source of this 2717-nucleotide RNA transcript. RefSeq lists it as uncharacterized. Lineage: Eukaryota; Viridiplantae; Streptophyta; Magnoliopsida; Poales; Poaceae. The record is from RefSeq and is a predicted model, not a curated record. The transcript has 2 exons.
GUUUAUUUCCCACGAUGGAUUGGUCAAAGCGGUGUUGCCAUCUCCAGAACAAUCCAGGUCCUCUUCCUCGCCAAUCCCCACCGCUGCUCUCUUCCUCCCCAAUUCUCAUCGCUCAAGUUCCAAAAAAAAUCCCAUCGCUGCCACUCGAGUGCUCCACCCGGUGGGGCGGCGUCCCAUCUCCCUCCAUGGCUGCCGUGUCUGUACCGACGUAUCAAGGUUGAACAUCCCCAGGAUGAGCUCCUAUGUGCCUUGGCCCUGCUGUGUCUAGACAGCUGCAGCUCCCCACGACCUCGCCGGUUCGUCCGAUCUAUGCCUGCUCGGCAUGUAGCAACACAACCUUCUUCCCCCACUCCUCGGGCGCCAUCGCCGUCGACGCAUACUGUACCAAGAGUGACACAGGGUGCGCCGGCUUCAUCCUGCUCCUUCGAGCUGGGGAACACCCACAGGUUGAGGUGGCAUGGCUCCGCCAUCACCAUCGUCAGCCAGGUACACUUCGUCGGCCGUCGGUGCACUAUCAUCGGUUCAGAGGAGGAUAGGCGGAGCCUAGGAUCAAGAUGCUUUGUGCGGUGGCCAUUGGUGUUUCUCAGCGGCACCUAGCUAUUGUUAGUCCAGCGCCGCUCUGCCAUCAAGCUGGGUAUCCGAUGAGUGCAGGUCAUCUUUACAGGCCAUCAGGUCAUCUUUACAGGCCAUCAGUGCUGAAGACACACCCUACUAUCCAAUAUUUGAUUACCCCUACAUGGAAGCAGAUGUGAAGCUAACCCAAUUUAAUAACUGUUUUUUCAAUAGGAAUCCAGAUCGUGGCAAAAUUAUAUCCUUUUCUUCCCAAGAUCACUGCAAUUCAGCUCCGUACAUGAUAGCCUGUAUUUUGUGUGCUAAUUAUGUUGUUCCAUUAUAGAUGCCUAAUUCUGCUACCUGACAAACACAGUCAAAAUAGCUCUUAUUUGAUCCACUCUCCUAGCAUCAGAGGAAAAGAUAAUCUUGCAACAUUACUAUAUAUCAAAUGCCAAUAUCAGUAACUGUGCAAAAAUAAAACAGAAAGCAGUAGACAGGAAGUUCUUUUAUAAGGUUAGUAUGCUGUAUUCACAUAUAUCCACUUCAGAAUUUUUGUAUGUUCAGAUCAGAAAAUUAUAUCUUCUCCAUGAAAUAAAGAUUUAUCUUUGACAGAUAUUACAGGGAAACACAAUGAAGGAAUAUGUCCCAACCAAGAGCUUUCACCAACAAAGAGAACAACUGAAGGAAAGAACAACCUAUACAUUUGGGGAUGUUCACUUUUUCUCACAUGUUCUCACUUCUCUGCUUUGCUUUGAAGACAAAUAUUAGUACUAGCAUUCUUUUUCCAAGUAUUUUUGGUAAUUUUAUUGCGCAUUAUGAGUCAUCCUUUUUUGUUACUUUGUCGGACAUGCCUUAUGAUAUUAAUGUGAGCUUCUGUUAUGUCCACAUAGUUGCACAUGACUUGCCAUUUGAUCAGUGUGUUGGAUACUUCAGUUCAUACUAAGGGAGCUUAUUGCGUGUUCAGCGACAGCCGACUGUACCUAAUCCUAUCAUGAAAAAGAUGUUGGAAGAAAACUUAGCUCUGUGGCGAUAGAUACAAUAGAGUCCUAGCCGUCGGUUCCCAAAUGUGGCAGCAAAUCCAAGGUAUUUUUAAAAAAAAAUGCAUAGAAGGAUUGGUAUCUGAUGCUCAGUGCAUAAAUUCCUUCUAUUACAAUGCAGACUGUGUUAUCUUCAAAGCUUUGAGAGAAGAAAAUACUCUGUUCAGAUUCUCAGAUUUUAGUUGUCGUACCGACCUAUUCAUGUGCUCAUGGUUUUUUAUGUUAUUUAGAAAAAAUGAAUCCAUCUAAAUGCUACUGUGGUAAGUUCCUGCACAUUAUUCAGUCUCAAAAUUUCCAUUGAUAUAUCCAUUAUAGGGGCUAAUCAUCUGGAAUCUUUUGCAGAAAUAAGACUAUGUUUAUGCAGCCUAUCCAACCUUCUAUCCACUACCGCCUGCAGUCAAGAUUCUCAGAUUUUAGUUGUCUGUACUAUAUCGACCUAUCCAUGUGCUCAUGUUUUUUUAUGCUAUUUAGAAAAAAUGAAUCCAUCUAAAUGCUACUGUGGUAAGUUCCUGCACAUUAUUCAGUCUCAAAAUUUCCAUUGAUAUAUCCAUUAUAGGGGCUAAUCAUCUGGAAUCUUUUGCAGGAACAAGACCAUGUUUAUGCAGCCUAUCCAACCUUCUAUCCACUACCGCCUGCAGUUAUUCAGUACUAAAACUACUCACGGAAUGCCUCCAAUUUGUCACGGCAUGUCUACUUGGAGUCACAAUGUGAUCAGUUCCUACUUGCAAGCACAAUGUGAUAAGUUUAGACAAUGCCUAGAAUGUGUUACAUGCAUUUCUUAUUAGUGAUGCACAUCAAGUCAAGGCAUAAUUGGAGUCCCAAAUCUUGCAUCUCACGUUGUUGUUAAAAAAUGUGACCAAUUAGUCUACUAAUUAAUACAAAACAUCUAUAGAUUGCCUGGUUUAAGUUCUGUCACUUUACUCAGCAUCUGUAUAAUGGCAUCUUUUCUUGCCUCUCCGGUAUUUUGUUUAUAUAUUGAUCUGGUGGGAAUUAUUUGCCUUACGGAGAAAAGCACUGAAAAGCGGUACGACCAGAGGCAGUAUAAUUCCUAUCCGAUGAACAUAAUCUGAACCUUUUUUGUACAUGAAUCUGAACUAAUUUUUGCUUGAGGACUUGUGCUUGCUGUCC